AGGUAAUUAGUUUAAAGAAAACAUUUGAUUUCGGCUCAAAAACUCAUGGUUCAGGUCCACGAUAGCCUA
This 69-nucleotide transfer RNA is filed under the name Gigantactis vanhoeffeni. RNAcentral describes it as "tRNA-Arg". It matches the Rfam family "tRNA". Rfam says of the family: Transfer RNA (tRNA) molecules are approximately 80 nucleotides in length. Their secondary structure includes four short double-helical elements and three loops (D, anti-codon, and T loops). The record is from RNAcentral. Lineage: Eukaryota; Metazoa; Chordata; Actinopteri; Lophiiformes; Gigantactinidae.